ACGCUUAUUACUCCCAACAAAUUCAACUGGAAGUCUUCAAUAAUUUUUUUGUUGCGUGUUUUUUCUUCCAAUGUGCUGAUUGAUAUUGACUUUUUCCUCUAAUAACAUGUAUUAACUAUACCUAAUUUAAAUGUUUUAUUUUCGAUUUAAUUAUGGUGUUAAUGUGCAACCUCAAUUCCUAUGCACAAGUUCAUCCAAUGCACAUGGCUUUUUCCUAUCCAUGGUUACUUUUUCCGUUCACUGUCAAGGUUACUACGUAGUAAAAUGCAACCUUCGAAACUUCAGUCGAUUGCCGCACCUAAUGGUACCAGAUCAGUCUAAUUGAAAGUACCGUUUUGUUUACAUUUUGUUGUCUAUUUUUACACCAACUGAGAUGAUUGUUUAUUUUUAACGCGGAUCGAAUCGCAUUACAUAACUAUUUAGGCGGUCUAGUCAUUAUCUGCUGCUGAUAGUUUUCGACCACAUCCCUAGUCUGGAUAAUCAGAAUGUCUUAAUGUUGAAGGUAUUGAGAGAAAUGGUUGACAAUCGUAGAUUUACAGCGUUUGUAUGCGUUUGGAGAGUAAUUUUCGGUACAAAAAUCUGUGACGGUGUACCAUAGAUGUUAACGAUAAGAAAUACGAGUCAAGCCGCUUUUGACGAAAGUGAUAAUAAUAAUAAUGGCGACAAUAAUAGGGAAUAUGAGGAUGAAUGCAAUGUUCAAAAUGUGAUACCAGAAGAUAAAAAACCAGAGAUCCAAUCUCUUAGAGAAUGGGCAGUACUAUAUUUUUUUCGGUAUUUUUAAUGGUUUUGUAGAUACGUAUUUAAGCUCCUAUAAUACCAUCUUAAUCUUGACCUGAAAUACGUAGUUUUAUUUACCCCUUCCUAUUAAUAGAGAGGAUGGAGAAAACGUUUUAUUAGUAAAAGAUAACUGACUAUAAAAUAUAGCUAUAGUGAAAAUGGCCAAUUUUUACUACAAACCGAUUUUGUAUUUCCACCAGGGCAGUUUCAUCUUUGAACUAGUACAAUGGAAUGGCGAACAAUUUUCCUCUUGGCUCCUCAGUAGUGUUUAACUAUUGGAGAAACUUCUCUAUUUCAAAAGUGUUUUCUUAAAAGAUCACUGGCCUUGGUGUUGGUACAGAGUGAGAACUUUUGGUAUUUUUGUGGACAAGAAUAUACAAUUUUCGCAGGUUUCCAAAUUUUCAAGGAACUUUUCUACAAUUGUUGGAUUACUAGCAGAUCGUUUGGUUCUUCCAACAUUCAUUUUUGUUGGUGAUAUUUUCUUUAAAUGUACAAGCGCAAAAGAUCCUUUUGCCAGAUCAAAUAGAGUUAAACUCUCAUCAUUCUCCAUGACUACUACCUAAUUGACUAAAUUUGAUCAGCCGAACCAAAAUAGCCG
Dendroctonus ponderosae (mountain pine beetle) is the source of this 1375-nucleotide long non-coding RNA. RefSeq lists it as uncharacterized. The record is from RefSeq and is a predicted model, not a curated record. The transcript has 2 exons. Lineage: Eukaryota; Metazoa; Arthropoda; Insecta; Coleoptera; Curculionidae.